GAUGAACGCUGGCGGCGUGCCUAAUACAUGCAAGUCGAGCGAACAGACGAGGAGCUUGCUCCUCUGACGUUAGCGGCGGACGGGUGAGUAACACGUGGAUAACCUACCUAUAAGACUGGGAUAACUUCGGGAAACCGGAUCUAAUACCGGAUAAUAUAUUGAACCGCAGGGUUCAAUAGUGAAAGACGGUUUUGCUGUCACUUAUAGAUGGAUCCGGGCCGCUUUAGCGAGUUGGUAAGGUAACGGCUUACCAAGGCAACGAUGCGUUGCCGACCUGAGAGGGUGCUCGGCCACACUGGAACUGGAACACGGUCCAGACUCCUACGGGAGGCCGCAGUAGCGAAUCUUCCGCAGUGGGCGAAAGCCUGACGGAGCAACGGCGCGUGAGUGAUAACGGUCUUGGGAUCGUAAAACUCUGUUAUUAGGGAAGAACAAAUGUGUAAGUAACUAUGCACGUAUUGACGGUACCUAAUCAGAAAGCAACGGCUAACUACGUG
RNAcentral lists this ribosomal RNA (497 nucleotides) under uncultured bacterium. RNAcentral's name for it is "partial 16S ribosomal RNA". It matches the Rfam family "Bacterial small subunit ribosomal RNA", at positions 28 to 507 of the family's 1533-position model. The record is from RNAcentral.